UUGAGAACAACGUACAAACCUUAUCGAUAAACAAUUGGAGGGCAAGUCUGGUGCCAGCAGCCGCGGUAAUUCCAGCUCCAAUAGCGUAUAUUAACGUUGUUGCAGUUAAAAAGCUCGUAGUUGAAAUGAAGGGUAGUUGUGUAAUGAAUACAUUCGUGUAUUUUGUUAUUCUACUACCCUCCUUCUAAAUUCGAUAUAUGAGUAUUAAUUUACUUGUAUAUGGUUUUAGACGUUUACUGUGAGAAAAUUAGAGUGUUCAAAGCAGGCAUUUGCUUGAAUAUAUUAGCAUGGAAUAAUCAUGUAUGAUUUUCAUGAUGUAUUUGAUUGGUUUGGUUCAUGAGAAUAAGAUUAAAAGGGACAGUUGGGGGUAUUCAUAUUCAAUAGUCAGAGGUGAAAUUCUCGGAUUUAUGGAAGAUGAACAAGUGCGAAAGCAUUUACCAAGGAUGUUUUCAUUAAUCAAGAACGAAAGUUAGGGGAUCGAAGAGGAUUAGAUACCC
This 497-nucleotide ribosomal RNA is filed under the name uncultured Blastocystis sp. Its description in RNAcentral is "bacterial SSU rRNA". It matches the Rfam family "Eukaryotic small subunit ribosomal RNA", at positions 512 to 1017 of the family's 1831-position model. Lineage: Eukaryota; Bigyra; Opalinata; Blastocystidae. The record is from RNAcentral.